Molecule: ribosomal RNA, 460 nt
Filed under: uncultured bacterium
Lineage: Bacteria
Description: bacterial SSU rRNA
Rfam family: Bacterial small subunit ribosomal RNA
Source: RNAcentral
CGCUGGCGGCAUGCCUAACACAUGCAAGUCGAACGGAAGUAGAAAUACUUAGUGGCGAACGGGUGAGUAACACGUGAGCAACCUGCCUUAUACACAGGGAUAACAGUUGGAAACGACUGCUAAUACCGGAUAAGACCACACUAUGGCAUCAUAGGGGGGUCAAGGCGAAUAAGCGGUAUAAGAUGGGCUCGCGUCCAAUUAGCUAGUUGGUGAGGUAACGGCCCACCAAGGCGACGAUUGGUAGCCGACUUGAGAGAGUGAUCGGCCACACUGGAACUGAGACACGGUCCAGACUCCUACGGGAGGCAGCAGUGGGGAAUAUUGGGCAAUGGAGGAAACUCUUACCCAGCAAUGCCGCGUGAGUGAUGAAGGUCUUUGGAUUGUAAAGCUCUUUGAUUGGGGACGAAUAAAUGACGGUACCCAAAGAACAAGCCCCGGCUAACUAUGUGCCAGCAGCCGC